CCCCUCCCCUCUCCGCUCUCGCUCUCCGUGAUUUAUUACUUGCCCUGCUGCUUCUGACAAACUAUUUGUAGGAAAAUGAGAUUUGGUCCGCGCUGGAUGGCUCCUCUGGGAGGCAGGCGUGGGGGUCGGGUGUCGGAGGCCCCGUGCGCCCCCCCACCCCCCACCAGAGCCCACGGCGCUCACGGAGCUCUUUAAGAUAAAUGAGCAAAAUUAAGAGACUCACUGGGGGAAGAAAACACUGGAUGGGAGCGAGCGAGAGCGGAUGGUACUUGGUUUCCUCCCAGAAAUGCAUCCACGUGCGCCCCACUGGGGCCUCCCCCAUCUGCUGCAGACUCCAGGGAACUUCCUCCCCUCAAAGACGAACUUCCAGCCCUGGAGCAUGUUUCUUCCUUUCCUGGGAUGUGGCGCUGAAAAGGGCAGAAACCUCUAGUAAGGCACAAGCAACAGAUUGGGGGUGGAGCAGCAGGUCUCUUUGGAGGUGGCCUGGAAGAAACCGGACAGAGAGGAUGGGAAGGGGAGAAACAGAAGAGUGUGACGAGGUGGGUGUCCAAGGGCAAUGGGACAGGCAGUCCGGGUGGGAGAGUGGACCUGAGGAAGUAGCUGCAGGCCCAGACUACUUCAGCCACACCCUGAUCCCCUGGGACCCUCAGGGCACAGGAGGCAGUGCUGGCUCCAACCUCAGUCCAAGGAGCUGUGGAAGCCUCAGAGGUCCUUGGCAGAGAUGAGCCCUCAAUUCUCACCUCAAAGGCAGCGAUUGAAGUUUUCUCUUGUUUGGGUGGCAGAACUAUAAGUUGUCAGAGGGCAGGUAGUGGGUCUUUGGUUUUUCUGCAGUGCCACAGGGCUAGCUUACCUUAGAGGCCAUAAGUAUUAUUUGUUGAGAUGCAUGAAUACAAGAAUGUCUUAUAAGCUCUAGGCUCAAUUUUCAACUCCCACAGAUGUGCAAUGAAAACAAUUUUCCAGACUACUUUUUUUCCCUCUUAUUUUGAAAGCAAUACACUUAUUUUUUCCAUCAAACAUUAAGACAACAGAGAUAAGCAACAUAGAAGAAAAUAAUAAUCACCUGUUAUUCUACUACGAACAAUUUGGAAUUUAUCUUAAGUCUCAAAAUAUAUAUGUAUUAAAACACAAGGUCAUAUUGUAAACAUUGUUUUGACCUGCUUUAUUUCAUUCGAUGUUAAAUUGUAAAUACCUUUU
This 1194-nucleotide long non-coding RNA is filed under the name Homo sapiens (human). Its description in RNAcentral is "long non-coding RNA NONHSAT182458.1". The record is from RNAcentral. Lineage: Eukaryota; Metazoa; Chordata; Mammalia; Primates; Hominidae.